AUUGAACGCUGGCGGCAGGCCUAACACAUGCAAGUCGAGCGAGCGGCGGACGGGUGAGUAAUGUAUGGGGACUGCCCGAUAGAGGGGGAUAACUACUGGAAACGGUGGCUAAUACCGCAUACUCUCGCAUAACCCAUAUGGGAUUAGCUAGUAGGUGGGGUAAAGGCUCCCCUAGGCGACGAUCGCUAGCGGGUCUGAGAGGAUGAGCAGCCACACUGGGAUGGAGACACGGCCCAGACUACGAGGUAGGCAGCAGUGGGGAAUAGUGAACAAUGGGCGCAAGCAGGAUGCAGCCAUGCCGAGUGUAUGAAGAAGGCCUUAGGGUUGUAAAGUACUUUCAGCGGGGAGGCGUUAACCGCAGAAGAAGCACCGGCUAACUCCGUGACAGCAGCAGCGGUAAUAC
This 403-nucleotide ribosomal RNA is filed under the name uncultured bacterium. RNAcentral's name for it is "partial 16S ribosomal RNA". It matches the Rfam family "Bacterial small subunit ribosomal RNA", at positions 29 to 526 of the family's 1533-position model. The record is from RNAcentral.